RNAcentral lists this ribosomal RNA (406 nucleotides) under uncultured bacterium. RNAcentral describes it as "partial 16S ribosomal RNA". It matches the Rfam family "Bacterial small subunit ribosomal RNA", at positions 30 to 526 of the family's 1533-position model. The record is from RNAcentral.
AUUGAACGCUGGCGGCAGGCCUAACACAUGCAAGUCGAACGAGUGGCGGACGGGAGAGUAAUGACUGGGAAACUGCCCGAUGGAGGGGGAUAACUACUGGAAACGGUAGCUAAUACCGCAUACCAUCGGAUGAGCCCAGAUGGGAGUAGCUAGUAGGUGGGGUAAAGGCUCACCUCGGCGACGAUCCCUAGCUGGUCUGCGAGGAUGACCAGCUACACUGGAACUGAGAUACGGUCCAGACUCCUACGGGAGGCAGCAGUGGGGAAUAUUGCACAAGGGGCGCAAGCCUGAUGCAGCCAUGCCGCGUGUAUGAAGAAGGCCUUCGGGUUGUAAAGUACUUUUAGCUAGGAGGCGUUACUCGCAGAAGAAGCACCGGCUAACUCCGUGCCAGCAGCCGCGGUAAUUC